Molecule: transfer RNA, 69 nt
Filed under: Scarodytes malickyi
Lineage: Eukaryota; Metazoa; Arthropoda; Insecta; Coleoptera; Dytiscidae
Also listed under: 1 other name
Description: tRNA-Trp
Source: RNAcentral
AAGGAUUUAAGUUAAAAAAACUCACAGCCUUCAAAGCUGUAAAUAAAGGAAAGAGCUCUUUAAGCCUUA